GGGGGAUAUUGCACAAUGGAGGAAACUCUGAUGCAGCAAUGCCGCGUGAGGGAAGACGGUCUUCGGAUUGUAAACCUCUGUCCUUGGUGAAGAUAAUGACGGUAGCCAAGGAGGGAGCUCCGGCUAACUACGUGCCAGCAGCCGCGGUAAUACGUAGGGAGCAAGCGUUGUCCGGAUUUACUGGGUGUAAAGGGUGCGUAGGCGGCUUUUUAAGUCGGGCGUGAAAGCUGUGGGCUUAACCCACAAAUUGCGUUCGAAACUGGAAGGCUUGAGUGAAGUAGAGGUAGGCGGAAUUCCCGGUGUAGCGGUGAAAUGCGUAGAGAUCGGGAGGAACACCAGUGGCGAAGGCGGCCUACUGGGCUUUAACUGACGCUGAGGCACGAAAGCAUGGGUAGCAAAC
This 400-nucleotide ribosomal RNA is filed under the name uncultured bacterium. RNAcentral's name for it is "bacterial SSU rRNA". It matches the Rfam family "Bacterial small subunit ribosomal RNA", at positions 356 to 773 of the family's 1533-position model. The record is from RNAcentral.